Cyprinodon variegatus (sheepshead minnow) is the source of this 378-nucleotide long non-coding RNA. RefSeq lists it as uncharacterized. Lineage: Eukaryota; Metazoa; Chordata; Actinopteri; Cyprinodontiformes; Cyprinodontidae. The record is from RefSeq and is a predicted model, not a curated record. The transcript has 3 exons.
GCAGCGAAGAAGAGGAUGCCAGCGCAGGGAGCUAUAGGAAGGAGCCCUGCCCACUGACUGUCCGGCACCACCUGUCCAACUCAGCUGAACCGAUGGGAACAAGUGACACUCUGCAGCUCACUGCUCCUGAGUAAGAGACCAAGAGCUGCAGGCGGAGCUGGGGCGUGACAAAGCCUUCUGGACCAGACGCGUGACUCAACAGGACCAAGGGGGACCCCGAGGCGACACCAAGCCAACUCAGAGAGAUGGUUCCUUCAGCGCGUCCUGGGCCUUCCACGAGGCCUCCUCCCAAUAGGACAUGCAUGGAACACCUCCCGAGGGAGACGACCAGGAGGCAUCCGGAACACAUACCCAAGCCACAUCAGCUGGCUCCUUUCG